GACUGUUUCUGGUCAGGCACCAUCGGAAGAAGCGGUACCUCACGCUCAGUGCUAUCAGGAGGCCGAUAGAAAGCACCGCUGUCAGAGCACCGAGCACAGUGGGCCAGGUGGAGUGGACUUCAGCGAUUCCCGUGUGGAGUGCAUCACAAUGGAAGCAUCUUGAGCAAAGGUAUCAGCAGAUCCGCACUGGACGCUUAAAAACUGUUUAUGAACUGUUUUGUUUCACCCUGUGCAACAUCUUCCCUUCCUUUGUGAAAAAGGAAUAAUACGCCUAUACUUUAAAUGAAUAUACUGCAAACUGAUGCUUAACUUCAUGCUUGUUACAAAAAAAAAAGAAUAUUCUGUCAUCAUUUACU
Cyprinus carpio (common carp) is the source of this 356-nucleotide long non-coding RNA. RefSeq lists it as uncharacterized. The record is from RefSeq and is a predicted model, not a curated record. The transcript has 3 exons. Lineage: Eukaryota; Metazoa; Chordata; Actinopteri; Cypriniformes; Cyprinidae.